This is a long non-coding RNA of Adelges cooleyi (spruce gall adelgid), 141 nucleotides long. RefSeq lists it as uncharacterized. The record is from RefSeq and is a predicted model, not a curated record. The transcript has 4 exons. Lineage: Eukaryota; Metazoa; Arthropoda; Insecta; Hemiptera; Adelgidae.
AAGUAGGUGGAAAUGUUAAGUAUAAUCCGUUCAUGGACCCAAGUGAUGAACUAGGAUAUCCACAAGCUACUCCAAGUGCUCAAAAUUUUCCAGGUUUAGAUACUCUAAAUACUUUAGCUACUCCAAGUGUGACAAAUUUAC